ACGGAAGUUUAUCAUUCCAGAAUUUGAGGCAUUUGUGGGUGUCAUAAAUAAUAUUUACUACACAUCAAAACUGCAACAUGAUGGACAGGUUGCAAAAUACAUUCCCCAUCUGACCAAGUUUAGUCCUGAUCUUUGGGGUGUUUCUCUCUGCACAGUGGAUGGACAAAGGCACUCAGUGGGAGACACAAAGGUGCCGUUCUGCUUGCAGUCGUGCGUAAAGCCGCUUGAAUACGCCAUCGCUGUACACGAACACGGCACGGAGCGCGUUCACCACUACGUCGGGAAGGAGCCCAGCGGAUUCAAAUUCAACAAACUCUCCCUAGAUGAAGAAAAUAAACCUCACAAUCCCAUGGUCAAUGCUGG
This is a long non-coding RNA of Sinocyclocheilus rhinocerous, 363 nucleotides long. RefSeq lists it as uncharacterized. The transcript has 4 exons. Lineage: Eukaryota; Metazoa; Chordata; Actinopteri; Cypriniformes; Cyprinidae. The record is from RefSeq and is a predicted model, not a curated record.